Molecule: non-coding RNA, 982 nt
Organism: Ictidomys tridecemlineatus (thirteen-lined ground squirrel)
Lineage: Eukaryota; Metazoa; Chordata; Mammalia; Rodentia; Sciuridae
Source: RefSeq, a predicted model, not a curated record
CAGGCUUCACCUGCUACUCAACACAGGGUAGGGCUGUGUCUGUGGCAAGAGGACAUGACCUUGAGAAUCCUUUACUACGGGACCAAGAGCUCUACCAGUUGUCUCACCAGAUGCCUGGCCCUGAGGAGUGACUUGAAGACUUUAUUGAUGAAUAAGGCAUGAUCCAGUUAAUUUCAUAUACUCAGGUCAAAUCUAGUUGGUUGAACCUGUGGAUUCAGAAUCAGGAUACAAGGGACCAACUUGCUCUACAUAUGAAUCUACAAGAAGAAAAGUAUUGGUAUAGAAGUAUACUAUAAGUUUAAGAGCACACACCUAUAUAAACAUACCCAUGAGGAUAGGUAUACACUAGAAGUUCAGAUAAUCAUAAGUGCUAAUUUGUACAAAUUUUAAUGAAAACACUUUAACAAGCAAAAUAAAUACCAGCAAAAGAUCCUUCUGAUGUAUAAACAUCUAGAGGACAAUGAAGAAGCCUUACUCCAGAGCAUAAUUCAUCUCCCAUUUGACUUCAACCAGGGUAGAUGCAGGAAGUUGAGAGGAAUCCCAUUCUGGAUCUAGUGAAUGUAGGGAAGUUCGGUACCUAAAAUUCAAUCAUCUCAUGACACUUUGACUUUGAAACACUCUAUGAGUCUCUGGGAAGCUCACUGCAUAUUUACUUAAUGUCUCAAAAUUAUGAGACCUUGACCUGUACUGUCCACAGAGACCUAUUGGUCUCCCAAAGAGACACUGUGGCCUCUAAUCCCAGUUAAAGACAUAAUUUCUUUUGCUAAACGUAGCCUGCGUUCUUUAUUAGUCUGGUACAUUCUUUUGCAUGUAGUGAUGAAAUUUGAUUCAUUGUUGUUUAAGUGCAUUGGGCUUCAGUUAUACUCUCUUCUUGAUGUUUUGCAGUGGCAAAUAGAAGGCCACCAAAUUCAUUUAAGAUGAAGGAAAACUGUUCUUUAUUAAAUAUGUACCACAAGUGAUGUAUACUCCAUCUUUCCCCUGA